UACGAAGGGUGCAAGCGUUGUUCGGAAUUAUUGGGCGUAAAGCGCGCGUAGGCGGGUUUGUAUGUCGAUUGUGAAAUCCCCGGGCUCAACCUGGGAAUUGCAGUCGAAACUGCAAAUCUUGAAUGUUUGAGAGGAUGGCGGAAUUCCUGGUGUAGUAGUGAAAUACGUAGAUAUCAGGAGGAACACCGGAGGCGAAGGCGGCUAUCUGGCAAUACAUUGACGCUGAGGCGCGAAAGCGUGGGGAUCAAACAGG
This 253-nucleotide ribosomal RNA is filed under the name uncultured bacterium. RNAcentral describes it as "partial 16S ribosomal RNA". It matches the Rfam family "Bacterial small subunit ribosomal RNA", at positions 524 to 776 of the family's 1533-position model. The record is from RNAcentral.